UGCCAGCCGCCGCGGUAAUACGGAGGGUGCAAGCGUUAUCCGGAAUUAUUGGGUUUAAAGGGUUCGUAGGCGGGCUGAUCAGUCAGAGGUGAAAUCCAACAGCUUAACUGUUGAACUGCCUUUGAUACUGUCAGUCUUGAGUCAUAUUGAAGUGGAUAGAAUAUGUAGUGUAGCGGUGAAAUGCAUAGAUAUUACAUAGAAUACCGAUUGCGAAGGCAGUCCACUAAGUAUGUACUGACGCUGAUGAACGAAAGCGUGGGGAGCGAACGGGAUUAGAUA
RNAcentral lists this ribosomal RNA (279 nucleotides) under uncultured bacterium. Its description in RNAcentral is "partial 16S ribosomal RNA". It matches the Rfam family "Bacterial small subunit ribosomal RNA", at positions 506 to 784 of the family's 1533-position model. The record is from RNAcentral.